This 472-nucleotide ribosomal RNA is filed under the name Enterococcus faecalis. Its description in RNAcentral is "bacterial SSU rRNA". It matches the Rfam family "Bacterial small subunit ribosomal RNA", at positions 28 to 481 of the family's 1533-position model. Lineage: Bacteria; Bacillati; Bacillota; Bacilli; Lactobacillales; Enterococcaceae. The record is from RNAcentral.
GACGAACGCUGGCGGCGUGCCUAAUACAUGCAAGUCGAACGCUUCUUUCCUCCCGAGUGCUUGCACUCAUUUGGAAAGAGGAGUGGCGGACGGGUGAGUAACACGUGGGUAACCUACCCAUCAGAGGGGGAUAACACUUGGAAACAGGUGCUAAUACCGCAUAACAGUUUAUGCCGCAUGGCAUAAGAGUGAAAGGCGCUUUCGGGUGUCACUGAUGGAUGGACCCGCGGUGCAUUAGCUAGUUGGUGAGGUAACGGCUCACCAAGGCCACGAUGCAUAGCCGACCUGAGAGGGUGAUCGGCCACACUGGGACUGAGACACGGCCCAGACUCCUACGGGAGGCAGCAGUAGGGAAUCUUCGGCAAUGGACGAAAGUCUGACCGAGCAACGCCGCGUGAGUGAAGAAGGUUUUCGGAUCGUAAAACUCUGUUGUUAGAGAAGAACAAGGACGUUAGUAACUGAACGUCCCCUG